GUAGUAUCUAGUACAAGUUUUUUUAUGAUGAGAAGUUUAUAAAAACUAUAUCUAGUGUUAUGGGUUAUGAAUGUCCUUACCCACGUAUCUUUCGGCCUUGGCUAGCGCCUGAUGAUUGUGAAAUUGUGAUUCCUGUGAUACAUCUGCGAUUAUGUCUCUGUUGGUCGCUCAUCUCUGCGAUCUGAUCUGAUCUGCCACACCCCCAUGUUGCCACCAAGGCGCAACAGCGCACACACCAAAGCGUCAACGUCGCCGGCCAGCCGGCCGGCCUGCCACCCCAUAUAAUCACCGGCCUCCGCUGCUCGCACCUUCCUGCCCUACCUGACGCUUUCAGAGACCCAGACCCAGUCACCAAAUCGAUCGGUCCUUGCCAUAGGACCUGAUUAGAGUGAUUCUUCCAUGGAUGAUUAGAAACUACAGAUUGGGGCGUGCUGAAACGUGCCGCCUGGGAACAAGCUAACAACAGUAUAGUUUAUAGUAUACAUAUUAGGCCUCCUCCAGCGGUCGACGAUAUCGACCGAUUACAUCAGAUUUUUGAUGACGUGGAGCUGAGAAAAGGGAAUAAAUCCUCUAGCUGGCGACGAUUUCUUCGCUAGUCUCGAACAAAAAACGAGGACGCCAAGAGUCGGUAUUAUCGUCAACAAUAUCUUUUGCUCUAUCGAUAACAGAUCCGAUGCGCCUUCCUUCCCAAAUCCUUGACGCAUCGUCUCCCUCCCACCCCGGAUGCGCGCGCCAAUUCCCUCGCCAAAUCCUCUCUCUUGCCUUGCCUACGCGCCAAUUUCUCUCCUGCCAUCCCUCGGGUGACUGCGCUCUCUCUUCUAUUUUUUCUCCUUCGUUUUCCCCCCUGCUCGACGGAUCUCGUUCCUCGCUGAUUGCUGGGGCUAUCGACGAAGGCUGCAGCAACCUAGCCCUUCCAUGCAUGGGCGAUGCACGCUGCAAGAUGAGCCGCAGGUCUAGGCGAGAAGUAGCGCCGCCACCGCCGGCAGCGACGGCAACAGCGGCUGCAGAUGUUGCUGGGUGUUUUGACAGUAGCAUUGCUGCCUCCGUUCAGAUCGAUGGUGCCAUGGAUGUGCCUCCGAAAGCCCAACCAGCAUGGACGAACGGACCCAUGCCAAAAACCAAUUCGUUUGGUUAUGCAUCAGCACCAGAUUGUGGUAUGGACUUGCGCCAAUUCUUGGGUUAUUUUCAAAUUGGUCAGCAACCAUUCAUUCGACCACAUCCAAAUGUUUCAUUCCCACCACCAUGGCCACCUACAGCACCAACGACCAAUUCAGGCACAUCGAAGUCAAAUUCCAAAACUGUCAUUAACGUAGACGAUGGUGAUGAUGUUAGAACUGCAAAGCGUCUCCCCUAUGAAAUAGAUGAGGACUCACGACUGGUGAGUGCAUGGUUGUACCACUCAAAUGACCCGAUCAAUGGGAAUUGCAAGAGAAAUGAGAGUUACUGGGCAGAUGUGGUUGAACUAUACAAUAGCACAACACAUGUCAAUCAUAAAAGAGAAGUAAAGCAUCUCAAAGAUCGAUAGCAAAGAAUUAAAAGAAUAGUUAGAUAUUUCUGUGCCUCUUGGACAAAGGCCACCUCAAUUUAUACUAGUGGAUAUUCAGAAGACCAGCUGAAAGAUAUAGCACUUAAAUUUUAUUUGGAUGACUAUCCUAAAAAAGGCCCAUUCACACUUCUGCAUUGUUGGAAGAUUCUUCGUGAUGAACCCAAAUGGCAUGCAAUCUUGGAGGAGCCUGAUAAGUCAAACAAAAGGAGUUGGGAUGAUGGAGACACAGUAAGAUUAGAAGAUAUUGGAGAAAAGGAACGUCCAAUGGGGAGGAAUGAAGCUAAAAAACAACGAAACAACAAAGGAAAAUUCAAAGAUGAUGACCCUAGUUUACAUGAAGAAAUGAAGAAGUACAUGGAUAUUCAAGUUGUAGCUAGCAAAAGACAUGAAGAAUUUAUAGAGACCCAACAACGUAUUUCUGAUGCAAAAGUUGAGGCAGCAAGGCUUAGGAGGGAGUUUGUUUUGCUGAAAUCAUAUCAAAAAUUAUUGACCAUGGACACCAGUCAAAUGACUGAUGAUAUGAAAGCUGAGCACGUGAUAGGCUUGAAGAUUUUGAAGGACAAGCUACUAGGCAACACUAAGGAGGCGAAUAUUAGGGAUCAUGUUCUUCUGCUCAGGAGGUCAACAUUGUCUAUCUUUUGGUGAUUUUCACUUGUGUCUAAGGUUGCCCAGCGUUUGGUGGUCUUCUUCAAUGAAUGAUUAAGCACUUGUGCUUGCCGUCUAGCUUGUAGCUACUUUUGCUUAAUGAAUGAAAUUAGCAGUUGUAUCUGGAUAUCAUCCGUCUAGCUUGUAGCUGCUUUUGUUUAAGGAAUGAAAUUAUCGUUUGUAUCUGUCUGAUGCUUUCCAGAAUAUGCCUAUCAACUCUCUUUUGUGACCAUAUAAUACCCUAUUGUGUUACCUAGUUGUUGUGCAAGUAGUACAAUAUUCUUCAGCAUCUGACAGAAUUGCACU
Molecule: RNA transcript, 2497 nt
Organism: Oryza brachyantha (malo sina)
Lineage: Eukaryota; Viridiplantae; Streptophyta; Magnoliopsida; Poales; Poaceae
Exons: 6
Source: RefSeq, a predicted model, not a curated record